RNAcentral lists this ribosomal RNA (536 nucleotides) under Verruciconidia verruculosa. RNAcentral's name for it is "eukaryotic LSU rRNA". It matches the Rfam family "Eukaryotic large subunit ribosomal RNA", at positions 51 to 604 of the family's 3401-position model. The record is from RNAcentral. Lineage: Eukaryota; Fungi; Ascomycota; Sordariomycetes; Hypocreales; Bionectriaceae.
CGGAGGAAAAGAAACCAACAGGGAUUGCCUCAGUAACGGCGAGUGAAGCGGCAACAGCUCAAAUUUGAAAUCUGGCCCUAGGCCCGAGUUGUAAUUUGCAGAGGAUGUUUCUGGCGAGGUGCCUUCCGAGUUCCCUGGAACGGGACGCCAUAGAGGGUGAGAGCCCCGUACGGUUGGUCGCUAAGCCUCUGUGAAACUCCUUCGACGAGUCGAGUAGUUUGGGAAUGCUGCUCUAAAUGGGAGGUAUACGUCUUCUAAAGCUAAAUACCGGCCAGAGACCGAUAGCGCACAAGUAGAGUGAUCGAAAGAUGAAAAGCACUUUGAAAAGAGGGUUAAAUAGUACGUGAAAUUGUUGAAAGGGAAGCGCUUAUGACCAGACUUGGACCGGUUGAUCAUCCAUCGUUCUCGGUGGUGCACUCUGCCGGUUCAGGCCAGCAUCAGUUUGUCCCGGGGGAUAAAGGCUUUGGGAAUGUGGCUCUUCGGAGUGUUAUAGCCCACUGCGUAAUACCCUGGGGUAGACUGAGGUUCGCGCUCCG